This 412-nucleotide ribosomal RNA is filed under the name uncultured microorganism. RNAcentral describes it as "bacterial SSU rRNA". It matches the Rfam family "Archaeal small subunit ribosomal RNA", at positions 330 to 745 of the family's 1478-position model. The record is from RNAcentral.
GUGCAGCAGUCGCGAAACUUCACACUGUGCGAAGCACGAUGAGGGAAUCCCAAGUGCUUGCACGUAAGUGUAAGCUGUUUCUCUGUCUAAAACGCAGAGAGAGUAAGGGCUGGGUAAGACGGGUGCCAGCCGCCGCGGUAAUACCUGCAGCUCAAGUGGUGACCGUUAUUAUUGGGCCUAAAACGUCCGUAGCCGGUUUAAUAAAUGCCUGGGUAAAUUGUGUAGCUUAACUAUACGAAUUCCGGGUAGACUGUUAAACUUGAGACCGGGAGAAGUUAGAGGUACUCCUGGGGUAGAGGUGAAAUUCUGUAAUCCUAGGGGGACCACCAGUGGCGAAGGCGUCUAACUAGAACGGGUCUGACGGUGAGGGACGAAGCCCUGGGGCGCAAACGGGGAUUAGAUACCCCGUAGU